UAGGGAAUCUUCCACAAUGGACGAAAGUCUGAUGGAGCAACGCCGCGUGAGUGAAGAAGGGUUUCGGCUCGUAAAAACUCUGUUGUUAAAGAAGAACAUAUCUGAGAGUAACUGUUCAGGUAUUGACGGUAUUUAACCAGAAAGCCACGGCUAACUACGUGCCAG
Molecule: ribosomal RNA, 165 nt
Filed under: uncultured bacterium
Lineage: Bacteria
Description: partial 16S rRNA
Rfam family: Bacterial small subunit ribosomal RNA
Source: RNAcentral